Molecule: ribosomal RNA, 566 nt
Filed under: Allaeotes sp. CNCCOLVG00004331
Lineage: Eukaryota; Metazoa; Arthropoda; Insecta; Coleoptera; Curculionidae
Description: eukaryotic LSU rRNA
Rfam family: Eukaryotic large subunit ribosomal RNA
Source: RNAcentral
AGCCCUAAGUGGGUGGUAAACUCCAUNUAAGGCUAAAUAUGACCACGAGACCGAUAGCGAACAAGUACCGUGAGGGAAAGUUGAAAAGCACUUUGAAGAGAGAGUUCAAGAGUACGUGAAACCGUUUAGGGGUAAACCUGAGAAACCCGAAAGGUCGAAGGGAGAAAUUCAUUCGCGUUUCGCGAUAGGCAUCGUGUUCGCGCGCGACGGAGAGCGUUUCGACGUUAUUCCGCGCCACGAGCUCGACGAUCCUGACGCGAACGCGUGCACUUUUCUCCUGGUAGGACGUCGCGAUCCGUUGAGUGUCGGUCUACGGCUGACGGUGGAGCCCGAGAGUACGAUUCGCGUCGUUGCCCUCGGACCCGUCUGUUUCCCGGCCGGCUCGCUCGACGGUACGCAAACGGUUUUAGGCCGCUCACUUUACGAGCGUUCGGCUCGUGGCAAGCGCGCCAUUUGUUUGUCGGUGCGCGGACCUAGCGCCGCGCCUGACCUUUGGUGACUGUUGGCUACGAUGUUCUCGAACAGACCUUUUACCGAUCUGCGACGCUAUAGCUUUGGGUACUUUC